RNAcentral lists this ribosomal RNA (468 nucleotides) under uncultured bacterium. Its description in RNAcentral is "partial 16S ribosomal RNA". It matches the Rfam family "Bacterial small subunit ribosomal RNA", at positions 28 to 507 of the family's 1533-position model. The record is from RNAcentral.
GACGAACGCUGGCGGCGUGCUUAACACAUGCAAGUCGAACGGAAAGGCCCUGCUUUUGUGGGGUGCUCGAGUGGCGAACGGGUGAGUAACACGUGAGUAACCUGCCCUUGACUUUGGGAUAACUUCAGGAAACUGGGGCUAAUACCGGAUAGGAGCUCCUGCUGCAUGGUGGGGGUUGGAAAGUUUCGGCGGUUGGGGAUGGACUCGCGGCUUAUCAGCUUGUUGGUUGGGUAGGGGCUUACCAAGGCUUUGACGGGUAGCCGGCCUGAGAGGGUGACCGGCCACAUUGGGACUGAGAUACGGCCCAGACUCCUACGGGAGGCAGCAGUGGGGAAUAUUGCACAAUGGGCGGAAGCCUGAUGCAGCAACGCCGCGUGCGGGAUGACGGCCUUCGGGUUGUAAACCGCUUUCGCCUGUGACGAAGCGUGAGUGACGGUAAUGGGUAAAGAAGCACCGGCUAACUACGUG